AAACUUUUUAGCUAGAGUAUGAUAGAGGAAAGCAGAAUUUCUAGUGUAGAGGUGAAAUUCGUAGAUAUUAGAAAGAAUACCAAUUGCGAAGGCAGCUUUCUGGAUCAUUACUGACACUGAGGAACGAAAGCAUGGGUAGCGAAGAGGAUUAGAUACCCUCGUAGUCCAUGCCGUAAACGAUGUGUGUUAGAUGUUGGAAAUUUAUUUUCAGUAUCGCAGUGAAAACAAUAAACACACCGCCUGGGGAGUACGACCGCAAGGUUAAAACUCAAAUGAAUUGACGGGGACCCGCACAAGUAGUGGAGCAUGUGGUUUAAUUCGAAGAUACGCGCAGAACCUUACCAACACUUGACAUGUUCGUCGCGACUCUAAGAGAUUAGAGUUUUCGGUUCGGCCGGACGAAACACAGGUGCUGCAUGGCUGUCGUCAGCUCGUGUCGUGAGAUGUUGGGUUAAGUCCCGCAACGAGCGCAACCCUCACUUUUAGUUGCCAUCAUUAAGUUGGGCACUCUGAAAGAACUGCCAGUGAUAAGCUGGAGGAAGGCGAGGAUGACGUCAAGUCCUCAUGGCCCUUACGUGUUGGGCUACACACGUGCUACAAUGGCAUUUACAAUAGGAAGCAAGAUGGCGACAUCAAGCAAAUCCUAAAAAAAUGCCUCAGUUCGGAUUGUACUCUGCAACUCGAGUACAUGAAGCUGGAAUUACUAGUAAUCGCGGAUCAGCGCGCCGCGGUGAAUACGUUCCCGGGUCUUGUACACACCGCCCGUCACACCAUGGGAGUUGGUUCUACCUUAAGGCAAAGAUUAAAACCUUUGACCACGGUAUAGUCAGCGACUGGGGUGAAGUCGUAACAAGGUAGCCGUAGGGGAACCUGCGGCUG
This 879-nucleotide ribosomal RNA is filed under the name marine metagenome. RNAcentral describes it as "bacterial SSU rRNA". It matches the Rfam family "Bacterial small subunit ribosomal RNA", at positions 630 to 1520 of the family's 1533-position model. The record is from RNAcentral.